Varanus komodoensis (Komodo dragon) is the source of this 339-nucleotide long non-coding RNA. RefSeq lists it as uncharacterized. The record is from RefSeq and is a predicted model, not a curated record. Lineage: Eukaryota; Metazoa; Chordata; Lepidosauria; Squamata; Varanidae. The transcript has 3 exons.
ACUCCUAAUGUGAACUUUUUGUCGAUCGAGCAUUAAGAAUGUUGCGCAAGAGACGUCUGUAUCGCAACUGGAUAACCGGUGUUUUAAAAGAUGUUAUUCAUCACAACUCCUAGUGGAGAUGGUGUGCCUGAUGGUUCUACAUGGACUCAAGGGAAAGAAAAAAAGUUAGAGAUCAGGGGACACAAGAUGAUACCUGGGAAACCAACAGGAAAAUAGGAGAACAAGCUACAAUGAGUUUGAUCAUCUGUUCAAUCAUGGUUUGUUCUACCAACUGGCCAUAUUGUGUAGCUUAUUUGCAUGGUGCUUAAUAUGUGGUGCAAAUGACACCAUUCUUAUAUA